GGAAUAUUGCACAAUGGGCGAAAGCCUGAUGCAGCAACGCCGCGUGAGUGAUGAAGGUCUUCGGAUUGUAAAGCUCUGUCUUUUGGGACGAUAAUGACGGUACCAAAGGAGGAAGCCACGGCUAACUACGUGCCAGCAGCCGCGGUAAUACGUAGGUGGCGAGCGUUGUCCGGAUUUACUGGGCGUAAAGGGUGCGUAGGCGGAUGUUUAAGUGAGAUGUGAAAUACCCGGGCUUAACUUGGGUGCUGCAUUUCAAACUGGAUAUCUAGAGUGCAGGAGAGGAGAAUGGAAUUCCUAGUGUAGCGGUGAAAUGCGUAGAGAUUAGGAAGAACACCAGUGGCGAAGGCGAUUCUCUGGACUGUAACUGACGCUGAGGCACGAAAGCGUGGGUAGCAAACAGGAUUAGAUACCCUGGUAGUCCACGCCGUAAACGAUGAGUACUAGGUGUAGGAGGUAUCGACCCCUUCUGUGCCGCAGUAAACACAUUAAGUACUCCGCCUGGGAAGUACGAUCGCAAGA
RNAcentral lists this ribosomal RNA (519 nucleotides) under uncultured bacterium. Its description in RNAcentral is "partial 16S ribosomal RNA". It matches the Rfam family "Bacterial small subunit ribosomal RNA", at positions 358 to 893 of the family's 1533-position model. The record is from RNAcentral.